CGCCGCGUGAGUGAUGAAGGUUUUCGGAUCGUAAAGCUCUGUUGUUAGGGAAGAACAAGUGCCGUUCAAAUAGGGCGGCACCUUGACGGUACCUAACCAGAAAGCCACGGCUAACUACGUGCCAGCAGCCGCGGUAAUACGUAGGUGGCAAGCGUUGUCCGGAAUUAUUGGGCGUAAAGGGCUCGCAGGCGGUUUCUUAAGUCUGAUGUGAAAGCCCCCGGCUCAACCGGGGAGGGUCAUUGGAAACUGGGGAACUUGAGUGCAGAAGAGGAGAGUGGAAUUCCACGUGUAGCGGUGAAAUGCGUAGAGAUGUGGAGGAACACCAGUGGCGAAGGCGACUCUCUGGUCUGUAACUGACGCUGAGGAGCGAAAGCGUGGGGAGCGAACAGGAUUAGAUACCCUGGUAGUCCACGCCGUAAACGAUGAGUGCUAAGUGUUAGGGGGUUUCCGCCCCUUAGUGCUGCAGCUAACGCAUUAAGCACUCCGG
Molecule: ribosomal RNA, 487 nt
Filed under: Bacillus amyloliquefaciens
Lineage: Bacteria; Bacillati; Bacillota; Bacilli; Caryophanales; Bacillaceae
Description: bacterial SSU rRNA
Rfam family: Bacterial small subunit ribosomal RNA
Source: RNAcentral